This 374-nucleotide long non-coding RNA is filed under the name Rattus norvegicus (Norway rat). RNAcentral describes it as "long non-coding RNA NONRATT011935". The record is from RNAcentral. Lineage: Eukaryota; Metazoa; Chordata; Mammalia; Rodentia; Muridae.
CAGGCAAGUCGUGGGGUGACUAUGGUCAGUCCUUCCACCGCAGGAGGGCCUGCACAGAAGCCCCAAGGAAAUGGCGUGGCUGGGAAUCCCAGCGUCGUCCCCACAGCUGUGGUGUCAGCAGCUCAUAUCCAGACAAGUCCCCAGGCUAAGGUCCUGCUGCACAUGACUGGGCAGAUGACAGUCAACCAGGCCCGAAAUGCUGUGAGGACAGGUAAGAGGGGAACAGGCCUGGAAUGCAUGAGGAAUGGGCUUAGGUGACUAAGCAGGUUGGUGACAACAGGUGUCGAGAAAAGCAAGUAUGAAUUUAAAAUAAUCACUGCCCUCUUGAACUAGAAACUACAAACCAAACUGUGUUGCCAGGACUUCUUCACCAC